GAGGGUUUAGCUCAGUGGUAGGGUGUGUGCCUAGCAUGCUCAGGGUCUUGGGUUCAACCCCCAGUUCCUCCA
RNAcentral lists this transfer RNA (72 nucleotides) under Camelus bactrianus (Bactrian camel). It matches the Rfam family "tRNA". Rfam says of the family: Transfer RNA (tRNA) molecules are approximately 80 nucleotides in length. Their secondary structure includes four short double-helical elements and three loops (D, anti-codon, and T loops). RNAcentral also lists the same sequence under 2 other names. The record is from Rfam by way of RNAcentral. Lineage: Eukaryota; Metazoa; Chordata; Mammalia; Artiodactyla; Camelidae.